CCUACGGGAGGCAGCAGUGAGGAAUAUUGGUCAAUGGACGAGAGUCUGAACCAGCCAAGUAGCGUGAAGGAUGACUGCCCUAUGGGUUGUAAACUUCUUUUAUAAAGGAAUAAAACGAGGCACGUGUGCCUUUUUGCAUGUACUUUAUGAAUAAGGAUCGGCUAACGACGUGCCAGUAGCCGCGGUAAUACGGAGGAUUCGAGCGUUAUCCGGAUUUACUGGGUUUAAAGGGAGCGUAGAUGGGUUGGUAAGUCAGUUGUGAAAGUUUGCGGCUCAACCGUAGAAUUGCAAUUGGUACUGGCGGUCUUGAGUGCAGGAGAGGUAGGCGGAAUUCGUGGUGUAGCGGUGAAAUGCUUAGAUAUCACGAAGAACCCCGAUGGCGAAGGCAGCUUACUGGACGGUGACUGACGUUGAUGCUCGAAAGUGUGGGUAGCAAACAGGAUUAGAUACCCGGGUAGUC
Molecule: ribosomal RNA, 460 nt
Filed under: uncultured bacterium
Lineage: Bacteria
Description: partial 16S ribosomal RNA
Rfam family: Bacterial small subunit ribosomal RNA
Source: RNAcentral